AGCUUUGUAAACUGCUAUUUUGGGCUCAUAACCCAAAGGUCGCAGGUUCAAAUCCUGCUCCCGCAACCA
This 69-nucleotide transfer RNA is filed under the name Candidatus Acidulidesulfobacter guangdongensis. RNAcentral's name for it is "Candidatus Acididesulfobacter guangdongensis tRNA-Leu". It matches the Rfam family "tRNA", at positions 14 to 71 of the family's 71-position model. Rfam says of the family: Transfer RNA (tRNA) molecules are approximately 80 nucleotides in length. Their secondary structure includes four short double-helical elements and three loops (D, anti-codon, and T loops). Further hydrogen bonds mediate the characteristic L-shaped molecular structure. tRNAs have two regions of fundamental functional importance: the anti-codon, which is responsible for specific mRNA codon recognition, and the 3' end, to which the tRNAs corresponding amino acid is attached (by aminoacyl-tRNA synthetases). tRNAs cope with the degeneracy of the genetic code in two manners: having more than one tRNA (with a specific anti-codon) for a particular amino acid; and 'wobble' base-pairing, i.e. permitting non-standard base-pairing at the 3rd anti-codon position. Lineage: Bacteria; Candidatus Acidulodesulfobacteriota; Candidatus Acidulidesulfobacterales; Candidatus Acidulidesulfobacteraceae. The record is from RNAcentral.